RNAcentral lists this ribosomal RNA (490 nucleotides) under uncultured bacterium. Its description in RNAcentral is "partial 16S ribosomal RNA". It matches the Rfam family "Bacterial small subunit ribosomal RNA", at positions 29 to 507 of the family's 1533-position model. The record is from RNAcentral.
AGUGAACGCUGGCGGUAGGCCUAACACAUGCAAGUCGAACGGCAGCACAGGAGAGCUUGCUCUCUGGGUGGCGAGUGGCGGGCGGGUGAGGAAUACAUCGGAAUCUGCCCAGUCGUGGGGGAUAACGUAGGGAAACUUACGCUAAUACCGCAUACGACCUUCGGGUGAAAGAGGGGGAUCGCAAGACCUCUCGCGAUUGGAUGAGCCGAUGUCGGAUUAGCUAGUUGGCGGGGUAAUGGCCCACCAAGGCGACGAUCCGUAGCUGGUCUGAGAGGAUGAUCAGCCACACUGGAACUGAGACACGGUCCAGACUCCUACGGGAGGCAGCAGUGGGGAAUAUUGGACAAUGGGCGCAAGCCUGAUCCAGCCAUACCGCGUGGGUGAAGAAGGCCUUCGGGUUGUAAAGCCCUUUUGUUGGGAAAGAAAUCUUUCAGGCUAAUACCCUGGGAGGAUGACGGUACCCAAAGAAUAAGCACCGGCUAACUUCGUG